Notolabrus celidotus (New Zealand spotty) is the source of this 739-nucleotide long non-coding RNA. RefSeq lists it as uncharacterized. The transcript has 3 exons. Lineage: Eukaryota; Metazoa; Chordata; Actinopteri; Labriformes; Labridae. The record is from RefSeq and is a predicted model, not a curated record.
CACACCAGAAGGGAAAUUUCUCUGUACAGGGCUUGUUCGUCCACAUGUGUUCCCUAGUACUGGUCACACAGUGCUGGUCACCUUUGAAGUUAUUUGGCUCACCCUCUUUCCAGUUUCUGUAGGAACUUUCUCUGUUGUUAGACCACUUCCAUGCGUUCCGGUACAAGCCAAUCCAAACAGCAAGCGAACCUUUGGCGGAUUUCAGCGCGUCGUCUUCCUCAGCAUUCUCGAUCAUAGCCAGGAUUUGAAGCUUCAAAACAAAAAAGUUAAAGUAUGAGAAGAUGGUCGUGUGUGUAAACAAGCAACUCAGUUAUGUUUCAGUUCAGGAAAAAACCCAAGGCAGGCUGAAGCAGGUAAAUAAUUUAAAAAUAAACCAUUUAAUGUUCAAAAACAAAACAGGCAGUGAAGGCAGGGAGCUGGCUGGCCAGAAAAGGUGAUCCUGAUGGCGACGCAGGGAACACAGGCAAGGUUCAGUUGAAGCAGUGAGGCACACCGGAGUACCGAACAAGACAGAAUUAUCUGGCUGAGUAGUGGAGUGAAGACCAGGCUUUUAUGGACAGGAUGAUUAGUUAAGUCAAGCCAGGUGUGCCUCGUCUGCUGCUGAGUGGAGAAGCCAGCCAACCCCCUGACACUCACAUACCUGGAGGAGAAGGAAAACAGAAAGGGGAGGGGGUGAAGGAGAACAAAAGCAAAAAAAAAACUACAACAAAACCAAACAGAAUCAUCACAAAAUAAACAU